RNAcentral lists this ribosomal RNA (465 nucleotides) under uncultured bacterium. RNAcentral's name for it is "partial 16S ribosomal RNA". It matches the Rfam family "Bacterial small subunit ribosomal RNA", at positions 28 to 507 of the family's 1533-position model. The record is from RNAcentral.
GACGAACGCUGGCGGCGUGCUUAACACAUGCAAGUCGUACGGUAAGGCCCUUUCGGGGGUACACGAGUGGCGGACGGGUGAGUAACACGUGAGUAACCUGCCCACAACUUUGGGAUAACGCUAGGAAACUGGUGCUAAUACUGGAUAUGUGCUACUGCUCCUUGGUGGGGGUUGGAAAGCUCCGGGGGUUUUGGAUGGACUGGCGGGCUAUCGGCUUGUUGGUGGGGUAGUGGCGUACCAAGGCGGCAACGGGUAGCCGGCCAGAGGGGGUGACCGGCCACAUUGGGACUGAGAUACGGCCCAGACGCCUACGGGAGGAAGCAGGGGGGAAGAUUGCACAAUGGGCGCAAGCCGGAUGCAGCAACGCCGCGGGCGGGAUGACGGCCUUGGGGUUGUAAACCGCUUUCAGCAGGGACGAAGCUUUUUGUGACGGUACCUGCAGAAGAAGCACCGGCUAACUACGUG